GAGUUUGAUCCUGGCUCAGGACGAACGCUGGCGGCGUGCUUAACACAUGCAAGUCGAGCGGAAAGGCCCUUCGGGGUACUCGAGCGGCGAACGAGUGAGUAACACGUGGGCAACCUGCCCUUAGCUUUGGGAUAACCCUCGGAAACGGGGGCUAAUACCGAAUAUCCACUUCCUGUCGCAUGGUGGUUGGUGGAAAGUUUUUCGGCUAGGGAUGGGCUCGCGGCCUAUCAGCUUGUUGGUGGGGUAAUGGCCUACCAAGGCGACGACGGGUAGCCGGCCUGAGAGGGCGACCGGCCACACUGGGACUGAGACACGGCCCAGACUCCUACGGGAGGCAGCAGUGGGGAAUAUUGCACAAUGGGCGGAAGCCUGAUGCAGCGACGCCGCGUGAGGGAUGACGGCCUUCGGGUUGUAAACCUCUUUCAGCUCCGACGAAGCGAAAGUGACGGUAGGGGCAGAAGAAGCGCCGGCCAACUACGUGCCAGCAGCCGCGGUAAGACGUAGGGCGCGAGCGUUGUCCGGAUUUAUUGGGGGUAAAGAGCUCGUAGGCGGCUUGUCGCGUCGACUGUGAAAACCCGUGGCUCAACCAUGUGGUCUGCAGUCGAUACGGGCAGGCUAGAA
Molecule: ribosomal RNA, 621 nt
Filed under: uncultured Actinomycetes bacterium
Lineage: Bacteria; Bacillati; Actinomycetota; Actinomycetes
Description: bacterial SSU rRNA
Rfam family: Bacterial small subunit ribosomal RNA
Source: RNAcentral